Molecule: ribosomal RNA, 580 nt
Filed under: uncultured soil bacterium
Lineage: Bacteria
Description: bacterial SSU rRNA
Rfam family: Bacterial small subunit ribosomal RNA
Source: RNAcentral
GAACGAGAAAGGGGAGCAAUCCCUGAGUAAAGUGGCGUACGGGUGAGUAACACGUGGGUAAUUUACCUCUGGGGGGGAAUAACUCUGGGAAACCGGAGCUAAUACCGCAUAAGCCCGCAAGGGGAAAGGCGAAAGUCGCCGAGAGAGGAGCCCGCGGCCGAUUAGCUAGUUGGUGGGGUAAAAGCUCACCAAGGCUGAGAUCGGUAGCCGGCCUGAGAGGGCACACGGCCACACUGGCACUGAAACACGGGCCAGACUCCUACGGGAGGCAGCAGUGGGGAAUCUUGCACAAUGGGGGAAACCCUGAUGCAGCGACGCCGCGUGAGCGAUGAAGCCCUUCGGGGUGUAAAGCUUUUUCGGCAGGGACGAUAAUGACGGUACCUGCAGAAGAAGCUGCGGCUAACUACGUGCCAGCAGCCGCGGUAAUACGUAGGCAGCGAGCGUUGUUCGGAGUUACUGGGCGUAAAGCGUGCGUAGGCGGUGGUCCAAGUCUGGUGUGAAAUCUCCCGGCUUAACUGGGAGGGUGCGCCGGAAACUGGGCCGCUUGAGUGUGGGAGAGGUAAGCGGAAUUCCCGGUGUA